UUGUCGUCAGCUCGUGUCGUGAGAUGUUGGGUUAAGUCCCGCACGAGCGCAACCCUCGUCCUAUGUUGCCAGCGGGUCAUGCCGGGGACUCAUGGGAGACUGCCGGGGUCAACUCGGAGGAAGUGGGGAUGACGUCAAAUCAUCAUGCCCCUUAUGUCUUGGGCUUCACGCAUGCUACAAUGGCCGGUACAAAGGGCUGCGAUACCGCGAGGUGGAGCGAAUCCCAGAAAGCCGGUCUCAGUUCGGAUUGGGGUCUGCAACUCGACCCCAUGAAGUCGGAGUCGCUAGUAAUCGCAGAUCAGCAACGCUGCGGUGAAUACGUUCCCGGGCCUU
Molecule: ribosomal RNA, 333 nt
Filed under: uncultured Cellulomonas sp.
Lineage: Bacteria; Bacillati; Actinomycetota; Actinomycetes; Micrococcales; Cellulomonadaceae
Description: bacterial SSU rRNA
Rfam family: Bacterial small subunit ribosomal RNA
Source: RNAcentral